Molecule: ribosomal RNA, 467 nt
Filed under: uncultured bacterium
Lineage: Bacteria
Description: partial 16S ribosomal RNA
Rfam family: Bacterial small subunit ribosomal RNA
Source: RNAcentral
ACGAACGCUGGCGGCGUGCUUCACACCUGCAAGUCGCACGGAAAGGCCCUGCUUUUGUGGGGUGCUCGAGUGGCGAACGGGUGAGUAACACGUGAGUAACCUGCCCUUGACUUUGGGAUAACUUCAGGAAACUGGGGCUAAUACCGGAUAGGAGCUCCUGCUGCAUGGUGGGGGUUGGAAAGUUUCGGCGGUUGGGGAUGGACUCGCGGCUUAUCAGCUUGUUGGUGGGGAAGUGGCUUACCAAGGCUUUGACGGGUAGCCGGCCUGAGAGGGUGACCGGCCACAUUGGGACUGAGAUACGGCCCAGACUCCUACGGGAGGCAGCAGUGGGGAAUAUUGCACAAUGGGCGGAAGCCUGAUGCAGCAACGCCGCGUGCGGGAUGACGGCCUUCGGGUUGUAAACCGCUUUCGCCUGUGACGAAGCGUGAGUGACGGUAAUGGGUAAAGAAGCACCGGCUAACUACGUG